CCUACGGGCGGCAGCAGUAGGGAAUAUUGCUCAAUGGGGGAAACCCUGAAGCAGCAACGCCGCGUGGAGGAUGAAGGUUUUCGGAUUGUAAACUCCUUUUGUUAGAGAAGAGAAGGACGGUAGCUAACGAAUAAGCACCGGCUAACUCCGUGCCAGCAGCCGCGGUAAUACGGAGGGUGCAAGCGUUACUCGGAACCACUGGGCGUAAAGAGCGCGUAGGCGGGAUAGCAAGUCAGAUGUGAAAUCCUAUGGCUUAACCCUAGAACUGCAUUUGAAACUGUUAUUCUAGAGUAUGGGAGAGGUAGGUGGCAUUCUUGGUGUAGUGGUCAAAUCCGUAGAGAUCAAGAGGAAUACUCAUUGCGACGGCGACCUGCUAGAACAUACCUGACGCUGAUGCGCGAACGCGUGGGGAGCAAACAGGAUUAGAUACCCGGGUAGUC
Molecule: ribosomal RNA, 440 nt
Filed under: uncultured bacterium
Lineage: Bacteria
Description: partial 16S ribosomal RNA
Rfam family: Bacterial small subunit ribosomal RNA
Source: RNAcentral